UACAGAGGCUGCGAGCGUUAUUCGGAUUCACUGGGCGUAAAGGGUGCGCAGGUGGCUAGGUGUGUUAGGCGUGAAAGCCCGGGGCUUAACCCCGGAAUUGCACCUAAAACUACUUGGCUAGAGCAUUGGAGAGGGGAGCAGAAUUCAUGGUGUAGCAGUGAAAUGCGUAGAUAUCAGGAGGAAUACCAGAGGCGAAGGCGGCUCCCUGGACAAUUGCUGACACUCAGGCACGAAAGCGUGGGGAGCAAAAGGG
RNAcentral lists this ribosomal RNA (253 nucleotides) under uncultured bacterium. RNAcentral's name for it is "partial 16S ribosomal RNA". It matches the Rfam family "Bacterial small subunit ribosomal RNA", at positions 524 to 776 of the family's 1533-position model. The record is from RNAcentral.